CCUGAGGCUGAGCUGGCACCGGUUCUGAGGAGCUGAAGGAGCAUGUUCUUCUCCAGUGUGUCCAUGGGAAGCUCCUCCUACCUCCCUGCAUCCAAGGCCUGGCCUUUGCCCUGGGUGCUGUGCCUCGGGGGACGUGAGGGCUUCCAGGGAGUUUUAGAAGGAUGUGUUCUGGAGCCUCCGUGUUGACACCCCCUGGGAAUAGAAUCGCCCUGGGUUGAGGCAUCCUCCAGACCCGCCUUUCCUGCUGCAAAGCUCUCACCACCACCAAACCUCACAGGCGUGCAUCACCCAUGGUGGGUGUGAAACUCAUGGGGCCCGAAGCCAUGGUACGUGGCAAGGUCGCGGUGGAAAUCCACGUGGGAAGAGGAGCAGAAGAAUCCACCAGCAGAAGAAGAGCCCAGAGGGGCUUCCGAGGAGGGCGCGGGAGAAAAGGAGGGUGAACCCCCAGCCGCAUCGUAAGACAGAGUCCGCACCUUCAUAUUGUGUGGACAGGGAGAAAAGGAGGGUGAACCCCCAGCCGCGUCGUAAGACAGAAUCCGCACCUUCAUGUUGCACAGCGUGGGCUCAGCCUGAGGGGACUCUCCUCAGCACCCUUCAGGACCCACCGCACCUUCCACCUCCCAGGGUGCGCCCCCUUGAAACUCCGUGAGCCUCAGCGCCUGCUGUGCACGGUGGUGAGUCCAGAGCCCACUGCCUCGGGCUCCUGCCCAACCUCUGCCAGCAUCACGCUCCCCCAUCCUUCCCACCUGUGCAAUGCCAGCCCAGGUGGCAUCCGCACCCAUGGGCUAACAGGACAGGGCGCCCUGUGGCCAGACAGACCCUGGUGGGAAUUCUCAGCACCUGUAGCUGUUCCUACCCUCCUCGCCCACCUCUCCUGAAGUGAGUGACACUGAGCUGACCCACAUGUGGCUGCUCCUACCCUCCUCGCCCUCCUCUCCUAAAUUGAGUGACACUGAGAUGACCCACAUGUGGCUGCUCCUACCCUCCUCGCCCUCCUCUCCUGAAUUGAGUGACACUGAGCUGACCCACAUGUGGCUGUUCCUACCCUCCUCGCCCUCCUCUCCUGAAUUGAGUGACACUGAAUUCUAAAGUCUAAAGUCACUUGGCUUAUUUUACUUAUGCAGGUUAGAAUAAAGUAAUUCUCUUAAAUAUGAUGGUAUUAUUUAAAACUAUAAAGUGAGAUCAUAGUACAAGGUUCCUGCUCACAUGGUACUUUGAUACAAAUAUAACCUAUCAUAAUCCCAGCACUUUGGGAGGCCAAGACAGAGGGUUGCUUGAGCCCAGAGUUUGAGACCAGUCUGGGAAACAUGGCAAGACCCUAUCUCUACAAAUAAACAUAGCUGGGGGCGAAUGGUGGCACACACCUCUAGUCCCAGC
RNAcentral lists this long non-coding RNA (1377 nucleotides) under Homo sapiens (human). RNAcentral describes it as "HSALNT0131738". Lineage: Eukaryota; Metazoa; Chordata; Mammalia; Primates; Hominidae. The record is from RNAcentral.